UUCCGGUUGAUCCUGCCAGAGGUUAUUGCUAUCAGGGUUUGACUAAGCCAUGCGAGUCGAGAGGUGUAAGACCUCGGCAUACUGCUCAGUAACACAUGGAUAAUCUGCCCUUAGGUGGAGGAUAUCCCCGGGAAACUGGGACUAAUACUCCAUAGUGGAUAUAUGCUGGAAUGCUGUAUCCUCGAAAGAUUAAUCGCCUAAGGAUGAGUCUGUGCCCGAUUAGGUUGUUGGCGGGGUAACGGCCCACCAAGCCAUUGAUCGGUACGGGUUGUGGGAGCAAGAUCCCGGAGAUGGAUUCUGAGACAUGAAUCCAGGCCCUACGGGGCGCAGCAGGCGCGCAAACUUUACAAUGCGAGCAAUCGUGAUAAGGAAACCCUGAGUGCCUGUCGAUGCAGGCUGUUCAUAUAUCUAAAUCAUAUGUGAAGAAAGGGCAGGGCAAGACCGGUGCCAGCCGCCGCGGUAAUACCGGCUGCUCGAGUGAUAACCACUAUUACUGGGUUUAAAGCGUCCGUAGCUUGAUUGUUAGGUCUCUUGGGAAAUCUUCACGCUCAACGUGAAGGCGUCUAAGAGAUACCGGCAAUCUUGGAACUGGGAGAGGUAAACCGUACUUCGGGGGUAGGAGUGAAAUCUUGUAAUCCUCGAGGGACGACCUAUGGCGAAGGCAGUUUACCAGAACAGCUUCGACAGUGAGGGACGAAAGCUGGGGGAGCAAACGGGAUUAGAUACCCCGGUAGUCCCAGCCGUAAACAAUGUGCGUUAGGUCUGUCGGUAACCACGUGUUACUGAUGAGCCGAAGAGAAAUCGUGAAACGCACCACCUGGGAAGUACGGUCGCAAGGCUGAAACUGAAAGGAAUUGGCGGG
Molecule: ribosomal RNA, 862 nt
Filed under: uncultured Methanocorpusculum sp.
Lineage: Archaea; Methanobacteriati; Methanobacteriota; Methanomicrobia; Methanomicrobiales; Methanocorpusculaceae
Description: bacterial SSU rRNA
Rfam family: Archaeal small subunit ribosomal RNA
Source: RNAcentral